GACGAACGCUGGCGGCGUGCUUAACACAUGCAAGUCGUACGGUAAGGCCCUUUCGGGGGUACACGAGUGGCGAACGGGUGAGUAACACGUGAGUAACCUGCCCACAACUUUGGGAUAACGCUAGGAAACUGGUGCUAAUACUGGAUAUGUGCUCCUGCUGCAUGGUGGGGGUUGGAAAGCUCCGGCGGUUGUGGAUGGACUCGCGGCCUAUCAGCUUGUUGGUGGGGUAGUGGCCUACCAAGGCGGCGACGGGUAGCCGGCCUGGGAGGGUGACCGGCCACAUUGGGACUGAGAUACGGCCCAGACUCCUACGGGAGGCAGCAGGGGGGAAUAUUGCACAAUGGGCGCAAGCCUGGUGCAGCAACGCCGCGGGCGGGAUGACGGCCUUCGGGUUGUAAACCGCUUUCAGCAGGGACGAAGCUUUUUGUGACGGUACCUGCAGAAGAAGCACCGGCUAACUACGUG
Molecule: ribosomal RNA, 465 nt
Filed under: uncultured bacterium
Lineage: Bacteria
Description: partial 16S ribosomal RNA
Rfam family: Bacterial small subunit ribosomal RNA
Source: RNAcentral